This 1095-nucleotide long non-coding RNA is filed under the name Mus spretus (western wild mouse). RNAcentral describes it as "lncRNA (ENSMSPG00010044222.1)". The record is from RNAcentral. Lineage: Eukaryota; Metazoa; Chordata; Mammalia; Rodentia; Muridae.
GGAGCUGUGCUGGGGAAGGGAAACCAAGGUUUGGAACCACACUAGCCUUCACAUUCCUGGGAGGAUACAACCCUCGCCUGGACGGGGAAGAUAGCUCUUUCUCUUUAUUUUUUCUUUUUUAUUUUUUGCCUUUCUGUUUUUAUUUUUGGAGGGGAGCGCCCAGUAAUUGUCUUGAACACAUGCUUCUCCCUCCCUCCUUCCUCCAGCCACCAGCGACAGAGAGUCCCCUUUUUUGCAUUUAUCAUUUUCCUUCCCCUUUCUUUAUUAAAGGUCCGGGAGUGGCGGCGGCCAAUCAGCGCUCGGCUUCCAUUUUGUGAGUUCAACUCGUAGGCUUCCCCGGCUUUUCGCGUGGAUCUGGUUGCAGACGCCCUCGGUCUCUCUUCUCGGGCUGCCGAGGCGAAGCAGCCGCCUCGCCGGGGCUUCGUGGUGGUGUAUUUCAUAUUGGGGCUCUUUUCGGGGUUUGUAAUUUGGCCGUGGGUAGGUAAUUGGCUGGAGCAGGGCGGCAGGGUGCGGCAGCCAAUCAGCGCGCGGCUUCUAUAGGGCUUGAGUUAUUAGACGCUGAUCUCAAAACAUCCUUCAUCAGACUCCAAGGAGAGGCCAACAGAUGAGGGAGCCAUUUUUCUGCAAUGGAAUUAAAUGGCCAAGUGGGACUCACACUUGGAAGAAUGAAGACCUUUUAAAAAGAUCUGGAUUUUUCCUUAUGACUUGGAAUCCAUCUUUGUCUUGUAUAACUAGGUCAUAGCACACUAUUAAUGUCAGCAGUUAACAGUUUUGAAUUCAAAAAAACCUAAAGCACUAAACAGCCCUCAGCGAAGCCGCCUUUUUGCCAGCCCAACCCUGGAAAGUUUGCAGUCGUGGAAGGAGCAGAAAUACCACGAGUGUAACUUACAAAGAAGCUUUUUCUUCUAGACGCCAUGGCGCCGGGCUGAGUGGGUCUUGGCCGGAGAUCGGAGCCAUGUCUGUGUUAUCCCCACUGUAGACAAUCCUUGCUUCCUCUGGACAUCUGGAGCAGGCCCAAUUUGACUGAGAGCCUUCCCCCACUAAGGAAUUCCUGGACAAUGGAGAGUGCCCCAGGCCCCCUGAACAUCUUGCUGA